Long non-coding RNA from Cyprinus carpio carpio, 2237 nucleotides. The record is from Ensembl. NCBI's taxonomy places the organism in Eukaryota, Metazoa, Chordata, Actinopteri, Cypriniformes, Cyprinidae.
AUUAUCAACAUGCCUGAAAAAACACUCCUUCUGAUCAACCCAAUGGAAAAUGAAGGUUCUUAUGAACGUAAAAUUCUGCGGAACUGGAGGUAACAUUGUUAGAACUGUUUCAUCUUUGUUUAAAUUUUUUGAUGCUAUUCAAUUCUAAACAUUGCUACCAAAUCUAGGAUUUAUUUUUUUAAACUGAGAAGGUGUGAUGAGGAAACAGCCCAGUGGCAAUUACAGACCCUAAAACACAACCCACAUGGAUUCUAGCAGUUGUGGAGUUUUGGUAUUGAAUUUUGCUGAAGAAUACCUGCUGACAGGAACGAUCAGCCAAGUUCAGACUACAUCUGAAGCAGUCAGCUCAUCACGCGUGAAAAUAGCCUGCACACUUCUUAGAUGUCGAGGUGAUGGACGAUUCAAGAUAGCUGUGGAUCAGGAAAUCAUUAAUGAUCACAUCACCUCCCCUGUUGUGGCCCUGAGCUACACUUUCUCUUUGUUUUAUGUUUUAAACAUCAAAUACCCAAAAGAGAUGUCUCUCUCCCUGGAAUUCAUCCAGCGAGUUUUCCUGGGAAUAAAUCCUGAACGUGGGUCCAAGGCUGAGAUGAAGGUAACAAAACUGCAACACAUUCCUUCCAGACUGUUGAAGUUCCUGUGUGACUUGAACAACUUUGAAAAUCCAUGAAAAAUGUUUUUUUUCAAAGGUCUUAAUGGAAGUUGGACUAAACAGCAGUUUUGCUCAAAUUGGCUCAUGGAAAAAGGUAAUAAGCACACGCAGACACAUGAAGCCCUGCGUCCCACUUCAUGCUCUUCUCUUAAGGACAAAUGGCACAAACACUGGAACAUUUUAAUGGUGACAAUAGUCUUGUUAUAGACAAGUCUAGAAAUUAUUAUUAAUGAUCUUGAGGGAAAUGUUAGUACUAUGGUGUUAGUUUUAUUUAUUUUUUUUAUUUCAAGAUGGUUGUUAAUCUCUAAAAUUCACUUGUUUUGAAUGUUAUCUAUGUUACCUCUCUUUGGUGUUACAUCCUUAUUAUACAGAUACAUUGUUUAAUUGUCUUUUGCUCUUAAAAAGCAAAAAAAGUUUUUAAUAGCGCUUUGUACAUUGUUAUAUGAAUUGCAGAGAUUGAAAAGCUGCAGCUGUUUUUGUAUUACUAGUAUGGUGUUUAUUUUAUUUUGUAUUCAUUUAUUUAUAAAUGGUUUUGACUUUCAAUUGGUUAUUGACCAUUGCCAUAUGAAUUUAAACUUUUUGACAGUGCAACUACUAUUAUACACAUACAUGCUCGUUUUAAGACAUUUAAUUGUCUUUUGUUUUUUAAAGCAAAAAAAGCAUUCAACACAAGUACUCUGUUGCACAUUAAAUGAAUUGUCCUGAUUUUUUGUGAAUUGUCUUUAUUUUAUUAAACUUGAAUUAAGAUUUUUUUUGUAUUUAAAAAUUGUUGACUCUUUUUGACAGAGCAGAACUACUAUUGUUCAUGUUCUUUUUUUAUUCAUUUUUUAUUAUUAUCAUUUAAUAAUCUUUUGUUAAGGCAAAAAGUGAACACAAGCACUUUCUGCAUAUUGGUAAAUUAAUUAUUAUUUAUUUUUUCGUGAUUAAUAUGCUGCAGCCCUGUUUUUGUAUACCAGAUUUCCCCCAUCUAUUUAAAUGAUCGGUUCUCAACUAUUUUACUUAUGAAAUGUAUCUUUUUAAUUUUUUCUGUCUUUUGCUUUUCACUUUCUGUGCAUUGUUAAAUAAAUUGUAAAUAUAUUUAUUUUUAUUUUGUGAUUUUUAAAAUCCUGUAGCCCUGUUUUUGUAUUCCAGGAUUCCCCAAGCUCCCAAAGUAAAGAUUUUGAAUCUUAACUUUUACAAUUAUGAAGUUUAAAAUGUUGACAUUGCAAUAUUAUUGUACAUUCAUGUUUUUAUUGUGUUGCUGUUAAAUGCAUUUUUUUACAUUGGUCAAUGAAUUGUUACCAUUUUUAUGUUUUAAAGCUGAAGCCCUGUAUUUGUAUUUCAGGUUUGGUGCAAGCUUUUGAAUGUGAUUGAAUGGACUUAAAGGAGCCGUAUGUAGGAUUGUGGCCUAAACUGGUACUGCAAUCACUAUAAAAAUACUGUAGAGCGGUGUAUCCCCUCCCCCUACCCCCUGACUCGAGGUUGCCAGAUGAGCUGCAGGAUUCAGCAGAAACGUAGGCUGCUUCAAUGAGCUUCCAAUGGCAAGUGACGAACAGCCGUACACAGUACGUCCAUGUGAGCUAACGUUAUGUUACUUUGCACAAACAUG